GUGAACGCUGGCGGUAGGCCUAACACAUGCAAGUCGAACGGCAGCACAGUAAGAGCUUGCUCUUACGGGUGGCGAGUGGCGGACGGGUGAGGAAUACAUCGGAAUCUACUUUUUCGUGGGGGAUAACGUAGGGAAACUUACGCUAAUACCGCAUACGACCUACGGGUGAAAGCAGGGGAUCUUCGGACCUUGCGCGAUUGAAUGAGCCGAUGUCGGAUUAGCUAGUUGGCGGGGUAAAGGCCCACCAAGGCGACGAUCCGUAGCUGGUCUGAGAGGAUGAUCAGCCACACUGGAACUGAGAACCGGUCCAGACUCCUACGGGAGGCAGCAGUGGGGAAUAUUGGACAAUGGGCGCAAGCCUGAUCCAGCCAUACCGCGUGGGUGAAGAAGGCCUUCGGGUUGUAAAGCCCUUUUGUUGGGAAAGAAAAGCAGCAGGUUAAUACCCCGCUGUUCUGACGGUACCCAAAGAAUAAGCACCGGCUAACUUCGUG
RNAcentral lists this ribosomal RNA (491 nucleotides) under uncultured bacterium. RNAcentral's name for it is "partial 16S ribosomal RNA". It matches the Rfam family "Bacterial small subunit ribosomal RNA", at positions 29 to 507 of the family's 1533-position model. The record is from RNAcentral.